GACGAACGCUGGCGGCGUGCUUAACACAUGCAAGUCGAACGGUAAGGCCCUUCGGGGUACACGAGUGGCGAACGGGUGAGUAACACGUGGGUGAUCUGCCCUGCACUUCGGGAUAAGCCUGGGAAACUGGGUCUAAUACCGGAUAGGACCCUGGGAUGCAUGUCCUGGGGUGGAAAGCUUUUGCGGGGUGGGAUGGGCCCGCGGCCUAUCAGCUUGUUGGUGGGGUGAUGGCCUACCAAGGCGACGACGGGUAGCCGGCGUGAGAGGGUGACCGGCCACACUGGGACUGAGAUACGGCCCAGACUCCUACGGGAGGCAGCAGUGGGGAAUAUUGCACAAUGGGCGCAAGCCUGAUGCAGCGACGCCGCGUGAGGGAUGACGGCCUUCGGGUUGUAAACCUCUUUCAGCACCGACGAAGCGUAAGUGACGGUAGGUGCAGAAGAAGGACCGGCCAACUACGUGCCAGCCGCCGCCGUAA
RNAcentral lists this ribosomal RNA (478 nucleotides) under uncultured bacterium. RNAcentral describes it as "partial 16S ribosomal RNA". It matches the Rfam family "Bacterial small subunit ribosomal RNA", at positions 28 to 523 of the family's 1533-position model. The record is from RNAcentral.